Molecule: ribosomal RNA, 1008 nt
Filed under: Triticum aestivum (bread wheat)
Lineage: Eukaryota; Viridiplantae; Streptophyta; Magnoliopsida; Poales; Poaceae
Description: partial small subunit ribosomal RNA
Source: RNAcentral
AUGGCCGCCGCGACCGUGGACGGCGCCGCCGCCGUCGCCGCGCGGAGGUACUCGACGCAGCAGCAGCAGCAGCCGCAGCCGCAGCAGCACCACAACCAGCCCAAGCUUGGGACGACGCUCCACCUCCUCGCCGGCGGCGUCGCCGGCGCCGUCAGCAAGACCUGCACCGCGCCGCUCGCCCGCCUCACCAUCCUGUUUCAGGUUCAAGGAAUGCACUCAGAUGUGGCUACGAUGCGCAACACUAGUAUAUGGCGUGAAGCGUCCCGCAUUGUCUAUGAAGAAGGGCUACGAGCCUUCUGGAAAGGAAAUCUUGUAACUAUUGCACAUCGGUUACCUUACUCCUCGAUUAGUUUCUAUACAUACGAGAGAUAUAAGAAUUGGCUUCAGAUGAUACCUGGUCUCGACAGCAAUGGUGGAUUGGGUGCCGACGUUGGUGUCAGAAUGGUAGGCGGUGGCUUGUCUGGGAUAACUGCAGCUUCUUUGACAUAUCCACUGGACUUGGUACGGACACGUCUGGCUGCUCAGACGAACACAGCCUACUACAGGGGCAUAUCCCAUGCUCUUUUUGCGAUCUGCAGAGAUGAGGGUCCCAGGGGGUUGUACAAGGGUCUUGGUCCCACUUUACUUGGUGUAGGCCCCAGUAUAGCAAUAAGCUUCUCAGUUUAUGAAACUCUGCGUUCACAUUGGCUACUAGAGCGGCCAUGUGAUUCCCCUAUCUUUAUCAGUUUGGCUUGUGGAAGCCUUUCGGGAGUUGCGUCAUCAACUUUUACAUUUCCAUUGGAUCUUGUAAGACGCCGCAAGCAGUUGGAAGGUGCAGCUGGGAGGGCCAAUGUCUACAAGACAGGACUUGUUGGAACGUUUGGGCAUAUUAUUCAGACAGAAGGUUAUAGAGGAUUGUAUAGAGGGAUCUUGCCUGAGUACUGCAAAGUGGUUCCCAGCGUCGGCCUCAUUUUUAUGACAUACGAGACACUGAAGUCCAUGUUCACAGAAGGGGCAUCAGAUGAAUAG